This 775-nucleotide ribosomal RNA is filed under the name uncultured marine microorganism. RNAcentral's name for it is "bacterial SSU rRNA". It matches the Rfam family "Bacterial small subunit ribosomal RNA", at positions 727 to 1501 of the family's 1533-position model. The record is from RNAcentral.
UGCUGGNCCAUCACUGACGCUCAUGGACGAAAGCCAGGGGAGCGAAAGGGAUUAGAUACCCCUGUAGUCCUGGCCGUAAACGAUGAACACUAGGUGUCGGGGGAAUCGACCCCCUCGGUGUCGUAGCCAACGCGUUAAGUGUUCCGCCUGGGGAGUACGCACGCAAGUGUGAAACUCAAAGGAAUUGACGGGGGCCCGCACAAGCGGUGGAGUAUGUGGUUUAAUUCGAUGCAACGCGAAGAACCUUACCAGGGUUUGACAUCCUGCGAAUCUCUUGGAAACAGGAGAGUGCCUUCGGGAACGCAGUGACAGGUGGUGCAUGGCUGUCGUCAGCUCGUGUCGUGAGAUGUUGGGUUAAGUCCCGCAACGAGCGCAACCCACGUCUUUAGUUGCCAGCAUUUAGUUGGGCACUCUAGAGAGACUGCCGGUGAUAAACCGGAGGAAGGUGUGGAUGACGUCAAGUCAUCAUGCCCCUUACAUCCUGGGCUACACACGUACUACAAUGCUACGGACAAAGGGCAGCAAGUUCGCGAGGACAAGCAAAUCCCAUAAACCGUGGCUCAGUUCAGAUCGUAGGCUGCAACUCGCCUACGUGAAGGCGGAAUCGCUAGUAAUCGCAGGUCAGCAUACUGCGGUGAAUACGUUCCCGGGCCUUGUACACACCGCCCGUCACACCAUGGAAGUUGGCCGCGCCCGAAGCCGUUACUCCAACCCUUGUGGAGGAGGACGUCGAAGGUGGGGCUGAUGACUGGGGUGAAGUCGUAACAAGGUAACC